GACGAACGCUGGCGGCGUGCUUAACACAUGCAAGUCGAACGGAAAGGCCCUGCUUUUGUGGGUUGCUCGAGUGGCGAACGGGUGAGUAACACGUGAGUAACCUGCCCUUGACUUUGGGAUAACUUCAGGAAACUGGGGCUAAUACCGGAUAGGAUCUCCUGCUGCAUGGUGGGGGUUGGAAAGUUUCGGCGGUUGGGGAUGGACUCGCGGCUUAUCAGCUUGUUUGUGGGGUAGUGGCUUACCAAGGCUUUGACGGGUAGCCGGCCUGUGAGGGUGACCGGCGACAUUGGGACUGAGAUACGGCCCAGACUCCUACGGGAGGCAGCAGUGGGGAAUAUUGCACAAUGGGAGGAAGCCUGAUGCAGAAACGCCGCGUGCGGGAUGACGGCCUUCGGGUUGUAAACCGCUUUCGACUGUGACGAAGCGUGAGUGACGGUAAUGGGUAAAGAAGCACCGGCUAACUACGUG
RNAcentral lists this ribosomal RNA (468 nucleotides) under uncultured bacterium. RNAcentral describes it as "partial 16S ribosomal RNA". It matches the Rfam family "Bacterial small subunit ribosomal RNA", at positions 28 to 507 of the family's 1533-position model. The record is from RNAcentral.